GUAUAUGUUUUAUAGGCACAACAUUCUAUCGACAUACAUUGGGGGUAAAUGAAACAACAUAGACCUGAAAGGUCUACAAAAGGUGCACAGGUGGAGAUAUAAAGAUGACAAGGCGUGCACAUGCUCCCUAGAGAACCAGCAACAAACCCAUCAGGUUUAUUUCAAUAAUGAUCCUUCCGCAGGUUCACCUACGGAAA
Molecule: unclassified non-coding RNA, 197 nt
Filed under: uncultured fungus
Lineage: Eukaryota; Fungi
Description: sequence contains ITS1
Source: RNAcentral